AGCACAGGUGAGCUAGUGUCCCAUAAGACUCACUCCCCUUGGCUUUUCCCCAUUCAGUAAGCAGGUAAGAAGCUCAGGCCUGCAGGUGAGCUAGUGUCCCAUAAGACUCACUCCCCUUGGCUUUUUCCCAUUCGGUAAGCAGGUAAGAAGCUAAGGCCUGCAGGUGAGCUAGUGUCCCAUAAGACUCACUCCCCGUGGCUUUUCCCCAUUCGGUAAGCAGGUAAGAAGAUCAGGCCUGCAGAUGAGCUAGUGUCCCAUAAGACUCACUCCCCUUGGCUUUUCCCCAUUCGGUAAGCAGGUAAGAAGCUCAGGCCUGCAGGUGAGCUAGUGUCCCAUAAGACUCACUCCCCUUGGCUUUUCCCCAUUUGG
Long non-coding RNA from Anguilla anguilla (European eel), 369 nucleotides. RefSeq lists it as uncharacterized. The transcript is spliced from 3 exons. NCBI's taxonomy places the organism in Eukaryota, Metazoa, Chordata, Actinopteri, Anguilliformes, Anguillidae. The record is from RefSeq and is a predicted model, not a curated record.